AUUAUUUCGUGUUGUUCUUCAAUCCUAUGCAUACUCAACCUUUACAACANAGAAUUAGACUUUAGAAGACCAGANUACUGNCUGGAAAUGUCAUUUACAAGGCCUGUACAACUUACAGUACAUUGUUUACAGUUCUUGGUGACGUUUCUNGUUCAUAUGAAUCUUCAUCUACUGGUGUAUUCAAGCCCUUCAUGUUCUAGCGGUUUAGAAUACGAUUGCAAGUCUCUACAAGGCAAUGGUACCGCUUGUNUUUGGGGUUGUAAUACAACUGUAACAAAACAUCUUUCCCCAGGANAUUGCUUAGAUGACUGCUGCAAAUAUUGCUUCUCCAAUUGCCAAGAAUGUUUUUAUGUCAANAUUCUACGUUUUUGUAUUCAUGGUUCUACCAACUCUUCAUUUGCAAAACAUCUUUUGGACAAAACAUUCAAGCNAUCACAAACCCUGGAUCAGGUCAUAAGAACUUCAGUAUUGAAUGUUUUGUCUUCAAUUAACCAAACCUUCAAGACUGAGCUACUUCAAUCUAAAUGGUAUUCUAAAAGCUAUAACAUUAUUCAGGUGUAUGUUAGAAUCACCAGUAGAAAGAAAACUACAGAAACUGUAGCAAUAGAUAUUAUAAGAAAUGCAACGAAGACUGGCCAGUUGGGUGGAUUAACUGUGUCUCCUGAUGUUUUUGACGUAAUGACAGAAAAGGAUUAUGAUUUGUUAAUGAAUAAUGAAGGAGAAGAAGACAAUUUAGAUGUGGUUGAGCUGAUUGCAGCAUGCAUCGGAGCAUUAAUCAUCCUAGCUGCAAUUUGUUGGCGUUUGUUUUAUAUGUGUACAACACCACAUCANAGAAAUAGAUGCAAUCCCUGUGGUNGAAGAACCGGAAUAGAUGCAUGAAAAAUAUCUGGAAAUAUAUUNCUCAACACAGGUUAUCUCAGAACUGCUAAUGAGGUGAAAUCNAAUACAAGACUCCAAGAGAAANGAGAACCUAGAGAAAAACCCUCAAAUCAAGAGAAAGACCUAACCUAUACUCACUAAGGGAGAAUGGUACAACUUCGUGUCGUACUUCAAUGGGCUGGAAUUGGGCCAUCAGACUAAGAGUGAAAGCUGUCAAGUUGGUAUUGAACNAUGUGUUCAACUUGAUGUAGUCAUCUACUGACUUGCGUGGAAAGUACAAGACUCUCUUAUUUAGAACUGGUAGAGAGAGAAAACCAAUCAUUCCCAGUUUGUAAACCAAGUCACGUGGGUGUGUUUCAGNCUCAGAAGAACUCAGCUGGCAGUUGGCAGAGUUGGCAGGGUUUUGAUCAAAGUUGGUGGACACACANCUUGGUUCCAUNUAACANUGAAUACGACAUUGCUNAGGUGUUUCAACCGUCUUGUUUUCAAUGACAUGCCCAAUUAAGGCUUUGUCUGGGAUGGACUGAAAGUACNCUUGGUUACGACAACCACCUUGAUGCAUAACGCAACCUGCGAGUGUGAAUGAAAGAAAAUAUGACAUCACUAGGCAGGAUAUACUGAUGACCGCUACAAACAGACAAUGAGGUUUUGCCACAAAACCUACAACCAAGAAGCACUGGAAUGGAAAAGCCUCUUGAACCCAAACUAACUGAAAAAAAGCACCGAGAUGGAGUUGAGUAACUGCCAGAGACACCAAAACGCAGAAAGUAACUACAUGACAGUAUUGUACUAAGCUGUCCAAAGCACGUCAAUGAGUCGAAAACCAGGAGAGGUGGUCGACCUGAUGAAUGGCAGAAUAAUCAAGAAAAGAGAAUAAACCUGAGGCAGUAGAAGGAGGAAGAAGGAACGAGACGACAAAAAGAUUAUUAAAAAAAGAGAUGGUGCACUGACAAAGUAAACGAUUAAAUUUUUUAAAUGUGAAAAAAGUAAAAUGUCAGUGAAAAUAGAAAGAUGGAAAAGGGUAGAUCAUACUGAAAUAAAUGAAAAAAUGAAGAUGGCACUG
RNAcentral lists this unclassified non-coding RNA (1942 nucleotides) under Actinia tenebrosa (Australian red waratah sea anemone). RNAcentral's name for it is "uncharacterized LOC116291034, transcript variant X2". Lineage: Eukaryota; Metazoa; Cnidaria; Anthozoa; Actiniaria; Actiniidae. The record is from RNAcentral.